RNAcentral lists this ribosomal RNA (301 nucleotides) under uncultured bacterium. RNAcentral describes it as "partial 16S ribosomal RNA". It matches the Rfam family "Bacterial small subunit ribosomal RNA", at positions 509 to 809 of the family's 1533-position model. The record is from RNAcentral.
CAGCAGCCGCGGGAAUACGGAGGGAGCUAGCGUUGUUCGGAAUCACUGGGCGUAAAGCGCACGUAGGCGGCUAUUCAAGUCAGGGGUGAAAGCCCGGGGCUCAACCCCGGAACUGCCUUUGAAACUAGAUAGCUUGAAUCUUGGAGAGGCGAGUGGAAUUCCGAGUGUAGAGGUGAAAUUCGUAGAUAUUCGGAAGAACACCAGUGGCGAAGGCGACUCGCUGGACAAGUAUUGACGCUGAGGUGCGAAAGCGUGGGGAGCGAACAGGAUUAGAUACCCCCGUAGUCCCUGUCUCUUAUAA